UACGUAGGGGGCUAGCGUUGUCCGGAAUUACUGGGCGUAAAGAGCUCGUAGGCGGUUUGUCGCGUUGUCCGUGAAAACUCACAACUCAAUUGUGGGCGUGCGGGCGAUACGGGCAGACUGGAGUACUGCAGGGGAGACUGGAAUUCCUGGUGUAGCGGCGGAAUGCGCAGAUAUCAGGAGGAACACCGGUGGCGAAGGCGGGUCGCUGGGCAGUAACUGACGCUGAGGAGCGAAAGCGUGGGGAGCGAACAGG
Molecule: ribosomal RNA, 253 nt
Filed under: uncultured bacterium
Lineage: Bacteria
Description: partial 16S ribosomal RNA
Rfam family: Bacterial small subunit ribosomal RNA
Source: RNAcentral